Molecule: ribosomal RNA, 484 nt
Filed under: uncultured bacterium
Lineage: Bacteria
Description: partial 16S ribosomal RNA
Rfam family: Bacterial small subunit ribosomal RNA
Source: RNAcentral
AUUGAACGCUGGCGGCAGGCCUAACACAUGCAAGUCGAGCGGAUGAAGGGAGCUUGCUCCUGGAUUCAGCGGCGGACGGGUGAGUAAUGCCUAGGAAUCUGCCUGGUAGUGGGGGAUAACGUCCGGAAACGGGCGCUAAUACCGCAUACGUCCUGAGGGAGAAAGUGGGGGAUCUUCGGACCUCACGCUAUCAGAUGAGCCUAGGUCGGAUUAGCUAGUUGGUGGGGUAAAGGCCUACCAAGGCGACGAUCCGUAACUGGUCUGAGAGGAUGAUCAGUCACACUGGAACUGAGACAGGGACCAGACUCCUACGGGAGGCAGCAGUGGGGAAUAUUGGACAAUGGGCGAAAGCCUGAUCCAGCCAUGCCGCGUGUGUGAAGAAGGUCUUCGGAGUGUAAAGCACUUUAAGUUGGGAGGAAGGGCAGUAAGUUAAUACCUUGCUGUUUUGACGUUACCAACAGAAUAAGCACCGGCUAACUUCGUG